GACGAACGCUGGCGGCGUGCUUAACACAUGCCAGUCGAACGGAAAGGCCUGCUUUCCCUUGUGGAUUGCGGGUACUCGAGUGGCGAACGGGUGAGUAACACGUGAGUGAUCUGCCCCCAACUUGGGUAUAAGCCUGGGAAACUGGGUCUAAUUCCCGAUAGGACUGCAGGGUGGUGCCUGUGGUGGAAAACGAUUUUCUAGUGGUUGGGGAUGAGCUCGCGGCCUAUCAGCUUGUUGGUGGGGUAAUGGCCUACCAAGGCGGCGACGGGUAGCCGGCCUGAGAGGGUGGACGGCCACAUUGGGACUGAGAUACGGCCCAGACUCCUACGGGAGGCAGCAGUGGGGAAUAUUGCACAAUGGGCGGAAGCCUGAUGCAGCGACGCCGCGUGGGGAUGACGGCCUUCGGGUUGUAAACUCCUUUCGACCGCGAGGAAGCCACCUGGUUGGAAGGGUGGUGACGGUAGUGGUAGAAGAAGCACCGGCUAACUACGUG
This 493-nucleotide ribosomal RNA is filed under the name uncultured bacterium. RNAcentral's name for it is "partial 16S ribosomal RNA". It matches the Rfam family "Bacterial small subunit ribosomal RNA", at positions 28 to 507 of the family's 1533-position model. The record is from RNAcentral.